GAAGAAGUCAAAGCUCUCUCUGCUGCUGCAAACGCUUGUGUUCUCUCCUUCCUGCUGAUAGUUUGACCAAUCAACAUAUAUUUGGAAUGCAACGCCUUACACUUGCCUUCAAAUAAGAACAAGAGAAAUAGAUGGGAAAUAAACCCCAGCAGUUCUGAGACAUCGCAGAGAAGUGAUUGAUUAGAUUCCCUACAGUAUGGAAACAGGCCCUUCGGCCCAACAAGUCCACACCGACGCUCCGACGAGCAAUCCACCCAGACCCAUUCCCCAAUUAACCCCUGACACUAUGGGCAAUUUAGCAUAGCCAGUUCACCUGACCUGCACAUCUUUGGAGUAUGGGAGAAAACCGGUGUACCUGGAGAAAACCCACGAAGACAUGGGGAGAACGUGCAAACUCCACACAGACAGUCGCCCAAGAUUGGAAUCGAA
Hemiscyllium ocellatum (epaulette shark) is the source of this 429-nucleotide long non-coding RNA. RefSeq lists it as uncharacterized. The record is from RefSeq and is a predicted model, not a curated record. Lineage: Eukaryota; Metazoa; Chordata; Chondrichthyes; Orectolobiformes; Hemiscylliidae. The transcript is spliced from 4 exons.